GAACCUGAGCUUCUAAUUGGAAGAUUUUGGCAUCUUUAGCUUCCAGUUGUUGUUGCUACUGUUGCAAUUUCUCCUCUAAUUUUCCACUUCUUACUCCUGUUGAGGUAAAUAUCUGUGGCUGACCAAUAUUGACAAAAUCACUCUCCAAUUUUGUUACUAUUUCUUUCAAAACAACAAUUUUUGCUUGUAACUCAUCCAUUUUGUUUCGAUAUUAGUCAUCCAAUUGUUUCUUUUCAAGCUCCAAUGCCUCCUUCUUCUCUCGUUCUAUCUUCAACUGAGCAUUCAUCUUCUCCUUUUCCAAUCUAUAUGAUAUGCGAGAUUGUAGUAAUUCUUGCAAUUGACUUUUCAGGAUAUGCUGAAUCCUCUGUUUCUCCUUUGACUAGUUUUCCACUUUCUCAUCAAAUUCACGCUUCACUCAUAUCUUGGAUUUCGAUUCUACCUUGAUGAGUUAUUCCUG
This 457-nucleotide long non-coding RNA is filed under the name Physcomitrium patens. RNAcentral's name for it is "long non-coding RNA (PPAT_LNC009306)". Lineage: Eukaryota; Viridiplantae; Streptophyta; Bryopsida; Funariales; Funariaceae. The record is from RNAcentral.